This 3035-nucleotide long non-coding RNA is filed under the name Ananas comosus (pineapple). Its description in RNAcentral is "long non-coding RNA (ACOM_LNC032719)". The record is from RNAcentral. Lineage: Eukaryota; Viridiplantae; Streptophyta; Magnoliopsida; Poales; Bromeliaceae.
ACACACGCACACGCCACACACACACACGCAUGGAAAGAGGGAGAAAGAGAAGCCUCCAUUUUCUCUCUCUAAAUCUCUCCCAAAAUGGAUGGAUUUGGUGGAGAAGUAAGCUUGGAAGUUGAUCUUCAUCAACUUCAUCUUCUUCCUCUCCAUUGGAGCAUGCUUUGAAGGUAAGCUUUAAGAGCUUUAAUGGCAUUUCUCUAUUGCUUGGGUUUUAAGCUCUAGAAACGAAUUAGUAGCUUUCCUAGAUGCUAAGUAGAUGAUUUAUGCUUAGAUCCUAAGUUCUAAUGGUGGAUUUUUACCUAUUGAAACCUAGAGCUCCAAAAUGAGGGCUUUAAUGGUAGAUCUCUAAAGAUAGGUCUAAAUGCUUUGGAAAUGGUUUUAGUGGAACCCAUUGAUGCCUAAUAGAUGAUUAAUGCUUGAAUCAUAGAGCAAUUUAAUGAUUUCUUGCAUAGUUGUAAACCUAGGGCUCAAAAUGCAAACUUUCAAAAUAUGAGGGUUUGAUCUCAUUUGACCCUCCGUAAACCAAAUUGCUAGGUAAACGAACGCGUUGGCGAAGACGGUUCGGCAAUCCGACGAGCCGUUACAAAGUUAUUAAAGAAAUGGACGUUUAGGCUUCGGGUCCGCCGGGAGGGCCGAGGCGAUAUCGUAAAUUCAUGAAAAUGGAUUUGAAGCAUCGUGGCACAUAACCGAAGACCUUUAAUUUUCGGAUCGUGAAUUGGAGGCCGUUCGGGUGGUCGCGUGAGAGAUCGGGCCAAACCGGGUGCCGGGUGCCGCGGGAGGCCGAUUGCAAGUGUCGACAAGCAAUCGGAAUGCGAAAUGAGGUGGGUUGUGCUUACCGAAGCGACUAGGUCGCCCUUUAUGUCUAAGAAAUGAGAUUUCAUAUUGAUGCAUAUUGACAUAAUAUAAGAAUGUGAAAAGAAUGCAUGUUAACAUACUAUAGAAAUGCUAGAUAAAUGCAUAUGAUUAAUGCUUUGAAUGCAUAAUAUAAAGGGCGUAUGAAUGUUAGCAUUAUAAGAACAUCAUAAAAGGAAUGUAUGAUGACAUGUUGUAGAAUAUGCUAAAUGUAAUGCAUAAUGAAUUAAGUGCUAAAAGAAUGCAUGAGAUGCUAAGUAUGGACUAUUUUGGAUAAUGACUAUAUGUAUGUUGACAAAUCAUGUGAUGCUAGUGGUAUAUGUGCAUGAUGAUAUAUUAUGAAUUUACAUAUUGUGGAUUAUGUUAAAUAGAAAAACAUACUUGAUGACAUAUUGCCAUGUUGUGGAACAUAGUGGACAAUCUAUAUAUAUAUUAGAUCGAGUGGCAUUAAACCUAGCAUCUUGAACCUAGCAAACACUUGUGGUGAUUGAUCAUAUAUAUUCUGGUGUCAUUCAUGUAUGUUAGGACCCUAUUAUUGUGUAAAUGUGAGAGUUGGACUUGAACAUUAGUAAACAAGGGUGACAAUGACAAUAGAGACAUGAUUGGCAUCAAGAAAGUGAUUGUUAAACAUAGUUUAACCAUAUUGACAUUGGUCCAAGUUGACAUAGAGUGGCAUGAUUAAAUAGGUAGAAACCUAUUGUGACAUUGGCAUUGUGACUAGUGGCUAUGUAUCCUCAAGUUGAGGAUUGGAUCGAUACUCACGAUAAGUCUUGGCUUGAGGGAGGUAGCUCCCCCUCGGGCGGUGCGCUCCGGAGUUGGUCACCACUGGGCGUGGUAAAGUCCCACCAGUUGACGGUCCCUAGGGAGGUUCGAGUCCCCCGUUAUUAAGGGAUUUGGUUGUGAGUUAUUGGGGUUAACAUGGUUAACCGGUAAGAUUGGGUCAUAGCCAAAUGAGUGUACAACAAGUAUGCAUUAUGAGUUAUGGAUUUGGUAUCCUAGUCGAGAGGAUCUAGGGCUGAGGUGUAUGUGAGACGUCCAUCGCCUCGAGCCUGGUUCUAGUGCGGUACUCCGCAGACGAUUGACUCAAGACCGAGUCGGGUGGUUAGCCUUGUAAAGGUAGAUGAAACUUUAUGAUUAAAACGGUGAUUGACAAGAAUCUAAGAUAGAGGAAACCUUAGAUAUCAAAUGGAUGAGCUAUGGUUAGCAGAAUUGAAAGUAGUAUCGAAUGAACUACUAGUUGGUUGCAUAGUUGCAUUAUUGCAUGAUUUGCAUAUAGCAUUACAUUAUUGCAUUCGUGAGGCAAUGCAUGGUUUUAUUCGUUGCAUAAUCAAGAUAUAUAUCUAUCUGUUUAUUGAACUAACUUGCAGUUGCCUCCCUUGGACCUAUUGGUCGAGCUUUUCCCUUGGGUGGCCGUACCCACUGGGAACCAUGGAGUUGGUUCUCACCCCACGUGGUUUUGGGGUUUUUACAGGUUCGCACGUGAGCGGCGCGGCGGCGCGAGGCGAGGGCGUAGCAUCAUAGUUAGCGCCCUACCACCGAGACCAGAGAUAGCGAUACCCUGAGUCGGCCUUUACUUAGGGAUGUAAGAAAAUGAAAGGAAUAAGAUUGUAAUAGUCAUGUUAAAUCGGAUUGUAUUUGGAAGUUAAAUGUAAUAAGUAUUUGGGAUGUAAAAUGUAUGAAUAUGAGUGAAUGUAAUAAUAUAGGAUGUGUUAUGUUGUUUGAUACCUUCCAUUAAGCAAUCUUGAUUGAAAUGUGUUCCUGGUUGGAACUUCGCACAUUGUAUUGAUUGCUAUGCCUUGAACGUACAGGGGAGACUCUGUCCGCAGUACAGGAAAAACCCUGUCCGUUCGGCGAUCUGUUGGCGGCGCCGCGACCCGGCCAAAUAGGCAGGCGGUCGCGGGGCGUGACAGCCUCCACCCCUCUCAUUUCAGAAUCCUCAUUUGUAUUCUCAACUUUAAAGUAAUAGAAGAGCUUUCUUCUUAUCUCUCUCUUGUACUUAGUCUAGGGCGAGCGAGGUCCUAACUUAGCAAGUAGAGAGGCAGGCUUGCUCACUUCGCGAAGGAAGGCGAGCACCGCACGGGCUUUUGCAAGCAAAUUCGUUAAGUCCGUGACAGUUGGUAUCAGAGCCGGUUCGAGAAGGAGCCAUGUCGUCAUCAGAGGCCGCUGCUGGCGACGUUGGG